Molecule: ribosomal RNA, 482 nt
Filed under: uncultured bacterium
Lineage: Bacteria
Description: partial 16S ribosomal RNA
Rfam family: Bacterial small subunit ribosomal RNA
Source: RNAcentral
GACAAACGCUGGCGGCGUGCCUAACACAUGCAAGUCGAACGGAACUGUUUUGAAAGUUUUCUUUGCUCUGAUUUUGAUUUAGUUUAUUGGCGGACGGUUGCCUAACCCGUGCUUUACCUGCCUUUCAGAGAGGAAUAACUUUCUGAAAAGAAUGCUAACACCGCAUUACUUAUCGGAACCACAUUGUUUUGAUAUCAAAUAUUUUAUCGCUUGAUGAUGGACUCGCGUUCGUUUAGUUAGUUGGUGAGGUAGCGGCUAACCAAGACCGCGAUCGGUAGCCGGAGUGAGAGACUGGACAGACACAGAGGGACAGAGACACGGCACAGACUCGGAAGGGAGGCAGCAGUGAGGGAGAUUGAGCAAUGGAGGCAACACUGAGGAAGCAAGGCCGCGUGAAGAAGGAAGGUGUUCGGAUUGUAGACUUCUUUUAUGAAGGACGAAAAAUGACGGUACUUAAUGAAUAAGCUCCGGCUAACUACGUG